RNAcentral lists this ribosomal RNA (453 nucleotides) under uncultured bacterium. RNAcentral describes it as "bacterial SSU rRNA". It matches the Rfam family "Bacterial small subunit ribosomal RNA", at positions 355 to 825 of the family's 1533-position model. The record is from RNAcentral.
UGGGGAAUCUUCCGCAAUGGGCGCAAGCCUGACGGAGCGACGCCGCGUGAAGGAUGAAGGCCCUUACGGGUCGUAAACUUCUGUUCUGAGGGACGAAAUUUUUUGACGGUACCUCAGGAGAAAGUAUCGGCAAACCCUGUGCCAGCAGCCGCGGUAAGACAGGGGAUACAAGCGUUACUCGGAAUUACUGGGCGUAAAGCGUCUGUAGGUGCUUUGGUAAGUCUGUGGUAAAAGCUCGGGGCUCAACCCCGAGAGCGUCAUGGAAACUACCGAAGUUGAGCAGUAGAGAGGCAUCUGGAAUGCCGCAUGUAGGAGUAAAAUCCGUAGAUAUGCGGUAGAACGCCAAAAGCGUAGGCAGGAUGCUAGCUACUUGCUGACACUGAGAGACGAAAGCGUGGGGAGCGAAGCGGAUUAGAUACCCAAGUAGUCCCUGAGCGGGCUGGCAAGGCGCAU